RNAcentral lists this small nucleolar RNA (45 nucleotides) under Oryza sativa Japonica Group (Japanese rice). Its description in RNAcentral is "Small nucleolar RNA SNORD43". The record is from RNAcentral. Lineage: Eukaryota; Viridiplantae; Streptophyta; Magnoliopsida; Poales; Poaceae.
GAAAACAGAUGAAAACAACCUUUAUCAUUUUCGUUUUCAUAUUUU